GGGUCAGUAGGUUGGUCGUGCCACCGGUACGUACUGGUCUCACUGAUUCCUCCUUCCUGAAGAACCGUAAUGCCAUUAAUUUGGUGUUGCGGGGAAACAGGACUGUUACUUUGAAAAAAUUAGAGUGUUUAAAGCAAGCUAACGCUUGAAUACAUUAGCAUGGAAUAGUGAAAUAGGACGAUCGAUCCUAUUUUGUUGAUUUCUAGGAUUGACGUA
RNAcentral lists this ribosomal RNA (216 nucleotides) under Glomeromycotina sp. RNAcentral's name for it is "partial small subunit ribosomal RNA". The stretch from base 40 to 216 matches the Rfam family "Eukaryotic small subunit ribosomal RNA", at positions 686 to 864 of the family's 1831-position model. Lineage: Eukaryota; Fungi; Glomeromycota. The record is from RNAcentral.